This 1749-nucleotide long non-coding RNA is filed under the name Malus domestica (apple). Its description in RNAcentral is "long non-coding RNA (MDOM_LNC017234)". The record is from RNAcentral. Lineage: Eukaryota; Viridiplantae; Streptophyta; Magnoliopsida; Rosales; Rosaceae.
UGAAAUUCAAACCAAACUUAAACAUAUCAACCUACGAACAUAACCGGACGAGUUAUACUACAAAUACAUAAGUUCAGAGCAUAGGUAACUGCAGUCAAGUAGGACUAAAAUAAGAAUACAUCACCCUCAGGUGAGUCCUACAUGUCGAGGGUCUGUCAGAAAGCCGGAAAAGGACCUCGUGAGCCACCCACCGCUAAACUAGAACCUGGAGGGGCGCAAAACAAAAUGAGUGGGUCAGUAAAAUCAAAUAGUUUUCCAAAACAGUUCAUUCAAACAUUUUUAUCCCCUCGCCGUAAAAACCUGUAUACUUUCCCAGAAAAUAGUAUAUAAACAUAUAUAUAUGCAAUCUCCUAACUCAACACACAUUCAUCAUCAUAAUAUCUCAGAAAUGAUAUGUCAUGCCCAAAAUAUAAUCAGAAUGUAUCAAUAUCAAUCAGGUGAAUAAUAAGUCAACCGGAGACCCUAAUGGUCUUGUACGGCUGAUUCUAAAGCUCAACAUCCAAUCUAACCGGAGUCACCUCGGUGACCUGUACGGUCUAACUCUGCAUGUCACUCGGAACUACAUAAGGUAGUCUGUACGACGACAGGUGUAUAAAUACGCUAUAGUGCUUCUCACAUCAAUCAUCAGCGCGCAUAUCUAAGGUCACCCACCAGUCGGAACCCCUCUAAUGGUCUGUACGACUGGCAUGUCGGAACCCUCACAUGGUCUGUACGACAUCCACCUACUUGGAUCCAAGACGAGCGUGCGGUGUGGUGAAUAACAAUAUAAGCACUAUCACCUAGGUGCAGGUUAUGAGCUUUCAAUGCAAUUCAUAUAAGUAACUCAGCUGGAAAUAAAUAAACUCACCUGAGCGUCCACCGCGUCAUUUCACGCACAUAUAUAUCAAUUAUCAAAUCCAAUAUUUCGAUAUUUUCAUGCAUGGCAAUUUAAAUUCAUAAAACUCGUAUUUUCUGGGAAAAUAAAUGUAUAUAGGUAAAUACGAAAUCAAAACUGCCCACUCACUGAUAAGUCGACGGGUCGUAACCCCUGUGGCGUCCCUGGAUGCGGUCGUCCUCGGGAUACGUCUCACCUAUAUGCGAAACAACUAUAAAAAUGUUAAUUUUAAACACAUCACCAAUAUCUCGAAAUAACUUCUCAUACGAUGCUCAAUUUGGGUAUAUGAAUAUACCACAUCGACCUACUCGACGUCACGAGCGUCGGGAAAUUUUUAGAAAAAAAUUUGGAGGGCUCACGCGCCCCCACGCGCCGCACAUGGCACGGGCCUACGCGCCCCCCACACGCCCUUCUUCUUCCUUGGGUCGCCGGACUGGUUUUUCCGGCGACCGUUUUCCGGCCAAUUUUAAAACUUCCUAAUAUCCUUCGUUUCUCACCCAUUUUCUUCGUAUUUUAUAUCAAAUUGAAGCCCCAAACAUGUAGAAUCACGUUGGACUAGUUUUAGGGUCUAAAAAUCAAGGAAUCUCACAGGGAAAAUUCCAAGAAUUCGACCAACUUUGAAACCCACGAUCCCGACGUCCAAAACUCUCCAACGAACGUCCCCGAGCUUCCUUAGGACCUCCUAAAGCUCACUACAAGCUUAGAAUUCCCUGAAACACGACAUUUUACGUGUGCAUGAACAGUAACUCAAAAAUGGAGGUUCGGGUUCUAUGUGAUUUCGAGGGUUUCACUUCCUAAAACUAGCACCAAUGAACUUAGAACGUCGAAAGGAUGAAGAUGCAUACCUUGGUUGCCUCGAUCCUUCGAGUUUUGGA